Molecule: ribosomal RNA, 253 nt
Filed under: uncultured bacterium
Lineage: Bacteria
Description: partial 16S ribosomal RNA
Rfam family: Bacterial small subunit ribosomal RNA
Source: RNAcentral
UACGUAGGGGGCUAGCGUUGUCCGGAUUUAUUGGGCGUAAAGAGCGUGUAGGCGGCCAGGUAGGUCUGCUGUGAAAACUCGAGGCUCAACCUCGAGACCUCGGCGGAAACCAUCUGGCUAGAGUCCGGAAGAGGAGAGUGGAAUUCCUGGUGUAGCGGUGAAAUGCGCAGAUAUCAGGAAGAACACCCGUGGCGAAGGCGGCUCUCUGGGACGGUACUGACGCUGAGACGCGAAAGCGUGGGGAGCGAACAGG